AACGCGAAGAACCUUACCUGGGUUUGACAUGCACAGGACGCCGGCAGAGAUGUCGGUUCCCUUGUGGCCUGUGUGCAGGUGGUGCAUGGCUGUCGUCAGCUCGUGUCGUGAGAUGUUGGGUUAAGUCCCGCAACGAGCGCAACCCUUGUCUCAUGUUGCCAGCACGUAAUGGUGGGGACUCGUGAGAGACUGCCGGGGUCAACUCGGAGGAAGGUGGGGAUGACGUCAAGUCAUCAUGCCCCUUAUGUCCAGGGCUUCACACAUGCUACAAUGGCCGGUACAAAGGGCUGCGAUGCCGCAAGGUUAAGCGAAUCCUUUUAAAGCCGGCCUCAGUUCGGAUUGCAGGCUGCAACUCGCCUGCAUGAAGUUGGAAUCACUAGUAACCGCAGAUCAGCUACGCUGUGGUGAAUACGUUCCCGGGCCUUGUACACACCGCGCAUA
RNAcentral lists this ribosomal RNA (441 nucleotides) under uncultured bacterium. RNAcentral describes it as "bacterial SSU rRNA". It matches the Rfam family "Bacterial small subunit ribosomal RNA", at positions 958 to 1398 of the family's 1533-position model. The record is from RNAcentral.